Molecule: ribosomal RNA, 464 nt
Filed under: uncultured bacterium
Lineage: Bacteria
Description: partial 16S ribosomal RNA
Rfam family: Bacterial small subunit ribosomal RNA
Source: RNAcentral
CCUACGGGUGGCAGCAGUAGGGAAUUUUCGUCAAUGGGCGCAAGCCUGAACGAGCAAUGCCGCGUGAACGAGGAAGGUCUUCGGAUCGUAAAGUUCUGUUGAAGGGGAAAAAGAGUGGAGAGAGGAAAUGAACUCCGAUUGAUAUUACCCUUCGAGGAAGUCACGGCUAACUACGUGCCAGCAGCCGCGGUAAUAGGUAGGUGGCGAGGGUUAUCCGGAUUGGUUGGGCGAAAGGGGUGCGUAGGCGGCCUGCUAAGUCUGGAGUGAAAGGUACCGGCUCAACCGGUAUAGGCUCUGGAAACUGGCGGGCUAGAGAGCAGGAGAGGGCGGUGGAACUCCAUGUGUAGCGGUAAAAUGCGUAGAUAUAUGGAAGAACACCAGUGGCGAAGGCGGCCGCCUGGCCUGUUACUGACGCUGAGGCACGAAAGCGUGGGGAGCAAAUAGGAUUAGAUACCCGUGUAGUC